RNAcentral lists this long non-coding RNA (1258 nucleotides) under Triticum aestivum (bread wheat). RNAcentral's name for it is "long non-coding RNA (TAES_LNC000995)". Lineage: Eukaryota; Viridiplantae; Streptophyta; Magnoliopsida; Poales; Poaceae. The record is from RNAcentral.
AGCAUAUCCAACACAUAUUACCAAUAGUCAUGAACACAUAUAUAUCCAACACAUAUCCAACACAUGUUACCAAUAGUCAUGAACACAUAUAUAUCCAACACAUAUCCAACACAUAUUACAAGGAAUGACCUAAAACUAAAUAUCUAUUUUCCUAAAAACUAUCUUAUUACUAAGAUCUUCUUUGGAUCUUCUUCUUUUCUUCCAACCUGCAUAACAAAAACACUAAGAAAGAGAGAAUGUGUUAGGAGUAGAAAUGUAGCAUUUCACUUGGUGAAAUGCAUUGUUGUAGGAGCCAGUACUUGAGAUCAAGAUAAUCUUAGUUAAGAUCCUGAUUUUCAAAGUGAUCUUAAUUAGAAAGCCAAAUAGAGUAAACCAAUACCAAAGAGCCAAAGGAGAGAACCAGCCAAGGACCCAAUCAAGAAGCCACCACAAUUAGUAGUAAGUUAAAUGCCAACACAAAGACCACUAUCAGUACUAGCUCCAGGAAUUAAGCCAACUAAAAAAUAGUGAUUAAAGCCAAGGAUUAGACUUCAUUCAGGCCACCCGUGAGGACAGCACAAACACACACACACACACACACACACACACACAACUUAGUCACACCAUUCAGGCCAGUAUAAAUAGGGCAACCAACAGUAGAGUAGGUUCUGUUAGACACUUGGUGUCCAAAACAUCAAACAGGAUCGGGCCCAAAACCAUAUCUGUGAGAUAGUGUGAAGCAGCUAGGAGGAGGAGGCUGUCCACAAGAAGCAGGUUUACCAGAAUCCACAACACCAAGCUACAGAAGACCUCAAGGUAUACUUGAGGGAUUAUGUGCUCAGACAGCCUGGAAGUGCCAAGGCUAGUUCAUCACAGCACAGGGAUAGCCACAUGUAAAUUAAGCCUAAGAGAGGGGGGGCUCAGACCAGCAUCACUGCCCAAAUCAGAUGUAGUAUCUGUCUUAUCAGUAGAAAACUAGGAAAGUAACAGCCAAAACCAAGUAUAGCAUCUGUUCAUAGGCUAUUAGAAAGAGACCAAUAGGAAUAGCCAAACCAAGUGGUAUCUGUUCAUCUCAGUAUUAGAAGUAAAACAACUAAGAACAAGUGAGUAUCUGUUCAUGAGUAAAGUAACUAUAGCAUAGAAGAAAUAGCAGGGUAGCACCCCAAAUGAUUAUCUGCUUGUUUAGAACUUGAGUGGAUGGGGAGCUUGCUUACCCACCCAUCGGUUGAGAAGGAAGUUGAUCUCCUGCACUCACACAUGCAGCAACCAAAAGAGAAAC